AGCAGCCGCGGUAAUUCCAGCUCCAAUAGCGUAUAUUAAAGUUGUUGCAGUUAAAAAGCUCGUAGUUGAAUUUCGAGACCGGCUUACUGGUCGUGCUAUUGUACGUACUGGUAUAAUCGGUUUCUCCUUUCUGACGAACUUUAAUGCCAUUAAUUUGGUGUUUUAGGGAAUCAGGACUGUUACUUUGAAAAAAUUAGAGUGUUUAAAGCAGGCUCACGCUUGAAUACAUUAGCAUGGAAUAACGGAAUAGGACGUUUGAUUCUAUUUUGUUGGUUUCUAGGAUCGACGUAAUGAUUAAUAGGGAUAGUUGGGGGCAUUAGUAUUCAAUUGUCAGAGGUGAAAUUCUUGGAUUUAUUGAAGACUAACUACUGCGAAAGCAUUUGCCAAGGAUGUUUUCAUUAAUCAAGAACGAAAGUUAGGGGAUCGAAGACGAUCAGAUACCGUCGUAGUCUUAACCAUAAACUAUGCCGACUAGGGAUCGGAUGAUGUUAAUUUUUUAAUGACUCAUUCGGCG
Molecule: ribosomal RNA, 514 nt
Filed under: uncultured Glomus
Lineage: Eukaryota; Fungi; Glomeromycota; Glomeromycetes; Glomerales; Glomeraceae
Description: SSU rRNA
Rfam family: Eukaryotic small subunit ribosomal RNA
Source: RNAcentral